UACGAGGGGGGCAAGCGUUGUUCGGAAUUAUUGGGCGUAAAGAGCUCGUAGGCGGUUUGGCAAGUCGGGUGUGAAAACUCCGGGCUCAACUCGGAGACGCCACUCGAUACUGCUAUGACUCGAGUCCGGUAGGGGAGUGCGGAAUUCCUGGUGUAGCGGUGAAAUGCGCAGAUAUCAGGAGGAACACCGGUGGCGAAGGCGGCACUCUGGGCCGGUACUGACGCUGAGGAGCGAAAGCGUGGGGAGCGAACAGG
This 254-nucleotide ribosomal RNA is filed under the name uncultured bacterium. RNAcentral describes it as "partial 16S ribosomal RNA". It matches the Rfam family "Bacterial small subunit ribosomal RNA", at positions 524 to 776 of the family's 1533-position model. The record is from RNAcentral.